UCCUUUAAAGAAGACCAUGGGAGAAAGUUUAUGAAUCUCUUAAGUGUAUGGCAUGUUGACUUUGUGCAGGGAACACAUCGGGGCAGACAACCAUUCAUGUUAUUCACCAAAGUUUCAAGGCCCACUUACACCAUUUUUCAACACUCACUCCACAUUCAACAUUAUUAUACCUUCCAAUCUUCAACUACAAAAACUACCAAUCAAUCCAUCUCCUAAUAUUUUAAACAUUACACUAAUCACAUUUCCUCUUCUUCAUCCAAGUCAAAAUCUAAAAUUUCUGCCAUCUUAAAUUUUACUUUCUUUUAAUAAAGAAGUAAAGAAAAGUCAAGAGAGCACUUGUCAAAUAAAUGUGGGUCCUAAUAGCCCUCCAAGUAGUG
RNAcentral lists this long non-coding RNA (377 nucleotides) under Vigna radiata. Its description in RNAcentral is "long non-coding RNA (VRAD_LNC013966)". Lineage: Eukaryota; Viridiplantae; Streptophyta; Magnoliopsida; Fabales; Fabaceae. The record is from RNAcentral.